Molecule: ribosomal RNA, 749 nt
Filed under: Streptomyces sp. 548(2010)
Lineage: Bacteria; Bacillati; Actinomycetota; Actinomycetes; Kitasatosporales; Streptomycetaceae
Description: bacterial SSU rRNA
Rfam family: Bacterial small subunit ribosomal RNA
Source: RNAcentral
GUGGAUUAGUGGCGAACGGGUGAGUAACACGUUGGGCAAUCUGCCCUUCACUCUGGGACAAGCCCUGGAAACGGGGUCUAAUACCGGAUAACACUCUGUCCCGCAUGGGACGGGGUUAAAAGCUCCGGCGGUGAAGGAUGAGCCCGCGGCCUAUCAGCUUGUUGGUGGGGUAAUGGCCUACCAAGGCGACGACGGGUAGCCGGCCUGAGAGGGCGACCGGCCACACUGGGACUGAGACACGGCCCAGACUCCUACGGGAGGCAGCAGUGGGGAAUAUUGCACAAUGGGCGAAAGCCUGAUGCAGCGACGCCGCGUGAGGGAUGACGGCCUUCGGGUUGUAAACCUCUUUCAGCAGGGAAGAAGCGAAAGUGACGGUACCUGCAGAAGAAGCGCCGGCUAACUACGUGCCAGCAGCCGCGGUAAUACGUAGGGCGCAAGCGUUGUCCGGAAUUAUUGGGCGUAAAGAGCUCGUAGGCGGCUUGUCACGUCGGAUGUGAAAGCCCGGGGCUUAACCCCGGGUCUGCAUUCGAUACGGGCUAGCUAGAGUGUGGUAGGGGAGAUCGGAAUUCCUGGUGUAGCGGUGAAAUGCGCAGAUAUCAGGAGGAACACCGGUGGCGAAGGCGGAUCUCUGGGCCAUUACUGACGCUGAGGAGCGAAAGCGUGGGGAGCGAACAGGAUUAGAUACCCUGGUAGUCCACGCCGUAAACGUUGGGAACUAGGUGUUGGCGACAUUCCACGUCGUCGGUGCC